CCUACGGGUGGCAGCAGUCGAGAAUCAUUCACAAUGGGGGAAACCCUGAUGGUGCGACGCCGCGUGGGGGAAUGAAGGUCUUCGGAUUGUAAACCCCUGUCAUGUGGGAGCAAAGUAAAAAGAUAGUACCACAAGAGGAAGAGACGGCUAACUCUGUGCCAGCAGCCGCGGUAAUACAGAGGUCUCAAGCGUUGUUCGGAAUCACUGGGCGUAAAGCGUGCGUAGGCUGUUUCGUAAGUCGUGUGUGAAAGGCGCGGGCUCAACCCGCGGACGGCACAUGAUACUGCGAGACUAGAGUGAUGGAGGGGGAACCGGAAUUCUCGGUGUAGCAGUGAAAUGCGUAGAUAUCGGGAGGAACACUCGUGGCGAAGGCGGGUUCCUGGACAUUAACUGACGCUGAGGCACGAAGGCCAGGGGAGCGAAAGGGAUUAGAUACCCCAGUAGUC
RNAcentral lists this ribosomal RNA (446 nucleotides) under uncultured bacterium. RNAcentral describes it as "partial 16S ribosomal RNA". It matches the Rfam family "Bacterial small subunit ribosomal RNA", at positions 338 to 795 of the family's 1533-position model. The record is from RNAcentral.